CAGCAGCCGCGGUAAUACGUAGGUCCCGAGCGUUGUCCGGAUUUAUUGGGCGUAAAGCGAGCGCAGGCGGUUAGAUAAGUCUGAAGUUAAAGGCUGUGGCUUAACCAUAGUACGCUUUGGAAACUGUUUAACUUGAGUGCAAGAGGGGAGAGUGGAAUUCCAUGUGUAGCGGUGAAAUGCGUAGAUAUAUGGAGGAACACCGGUGGCGAAAGCGGUUCUCUGGCUUGUAACUGACGCUGAGGCUCGAAAGCGUGGGGAGCAAACAGGAUUAGAUACCCGCGUAGUCCCUGUCUCUUAUACA
RNAcentral lists this ribosomal RNA (301 nucleotides) under uncultured bacterium. RNAcentral's name for it is "partial 16S ribosomal RNA". It matches the Rfam family "Bacterial small subunit ribosomal RNA", at positions 509 to 808 of the family's 1533-position model. The record is from RNAcentral.